RNAcentral lists this long non-coding RNA (732 nucleotides) under Solanum lycopersicum (tomato). RNAcentral describes it as "partial TCONS_00057370". The record is from RNAcentral. Lineage: Eukaryota; Viridiplantae; Streptophyta; Magnoliopsida; Solanales; Solanaceae.
UCUAGGAUUCAAGAUCAAUCUCAGAGGAUCUUGAAUUCAAAUACAAAUCGAAAACAAGUUCAUCAAGAUCCGAGAGAGAAAACAAAUUACGAUUAUUGCAAUAUGUUUCAAUUUUCUCGAUACGAAUUUUAUUCUUUAUAAUAAUAUAACUCGUCCACGUAUACAAGAUAUAUGAUUUCUCGAGCGUGAGAUCGUCUUGUGUGACGAUCAAUAGAGACAGCUGAGUCAUAAAGACUAAGUUGAAAGGGACUGUUGCACAAGUGGUGGAUCGGGUCAAUCAGAAUCAUCUCAUUCUAUUCCAAAGUGAAUCUCCAGGACCUCCACAGCAAAGAGGGUUCUACUCAGGCUUGUCCCAGUCAAAUCAAAUAACCAGGAUACAGAACAGUUAAACAGAUUACACAUAUCCAAUACAUUAGUUGCAUGAUUCCAUUCAAGAAACAAUCGAAGGUGGUCAUAUAAACAAAAUUCAGAAAUCCUCUAAACAUUGAAUUCUCCAAAAAGCCACAAAACUGCAUACAUAUUCAACAUGAGAAACAAACACCUGCACAUGGGAAUACUGGACAAAGAAAAAAAAGAUAUAGACCCUUGGCUAUCAUAAUGAGUGAACGUAUUAAAUAUAAAAACCCUACAAUGCAAUUUCACAUUGAGGAUGGUCCAAAAAGUUUACUGAAAGAACAAAAAAAGAGCUUAGAAGAGUUAGAGCCAGUGAAAUUAAAUUCAGUUCAAUACCUG